This 306-nucleotide ribosomal RNA is filed under the name uncultured bacterium. Its description in RNAcentral is "bacterial SSU rRNA". It matches the Rfam family "Bacterial small subunit ribosomal RNA", at positions 188 to 482 of the family's 1533-position model. The record is from RNAcentral.
CAUGGUAACUAUGUAAAAGGUGGCUAUGCUACCGCUUUUGGAUGGGCCCGCGACGCAUUAGCUAGUUGGUGGGGUAAAGGCUUACCAAGGCAAUGAUGCGUAGCCGAACUGAGAGGUUGAUCGGCCACAUUGGGACUGAGACACGGCCCAAACUCCUACGGGAGGCGGCAGUAGGGAAUCUUCCACAAUGGGCGAAAGCCUGAUGGAGCAACGCCGCGUGGGUGAAUAAGGUCUUCGGAUCGUAAAACCCUGUUGUUAGAGAAGAAAGUGCGUGAGAGUAACUGUUCACGUUUCGACGGUAUCUAA